UACGUAGGGGGCAAGCGUUGUCCGGAAUCAUUGGGCGUAAAGCGCGUGUAGGCGGCUCGAUAAGUCUGCUGUGAAAGUUCAGGGCUCAACCCUGAAAUGCCGGUGGAAACUGUCGAGCUAGAGUCCGGAAGAGGCGAGUGGAAUUCCUGGUGUAGCGGUGAAAUGCGCAGAUAUCAGGAGGAACACCAAUGGCGAAGGCAGCUCGCUGGGACGGUACUGACGCUGAGACGCGAAAGCGUGGGGAGCGAACAGG
Molecule: ribosomal RNA, 253 nt
Filed under: uncultured bacterium
Lineage: Bacteria
Description: partial 16S ribosomal RNA
Rfam family: Bacterial small subunit ribosomal RNA
Source: RNAcentral